AUCUAAAUAGUUUAAUAAAAAUAUUGAUUUGUGGUAUCAAAGAUAUAAUUUUUUUUAUUUUAGAUU
This 66-nucleotide transfer RNA is filed under the name Hespera obesula. RNAcentral's name for it is "tRNA-His". Lineage: Eukaryota; Metazoa; Arthropoda; Insecta; Coleoptera; Chrysomelidae. The record is from RNAcentral.